Molecule: ribosomal RNA, 972 nt
Filed under: uncultured archaeon
Lineage: Archaea
Description: bacterial SSU rRNA
Rfam family: Archaeal small subunit ribosomal RNA
Source: RNAcentral
UCUGGUUGAUCCUGCCAGACCCGACUGCUAUCGGAUUGGGAUUUAGCCAUGUUAGUUGUGCGUCCUUGGCUACAGGGACGCAGCGUACGGCUCAGUAACACGUAGUCAACCUGCCCUGGAGACGCGGACAAACCCGGGAAACUGGGGCCUAUCCGCGAUAGAUGACCUCAUCUGGAAGGAGAGGUCGUCGAAAAGGGCGCACGGGUAUGCUCUGUGCGAACCGCUCCAGGAUGGGACUGCGGCCGAUCAGGCUGUUGGCGGGGUAAUGGCCCACCAAACCUGUAACCGGUACGGGCUUUGAGAGAAGGAGCCCGGAGAUGGACACUGAGACAAGGGUCCAGGCCCUACGGGGCGCAUCAGGCGCGAAACCUUCGCAAUGCGCGAAAGCGUGACGAGGCUAGUCCGAGUGCUUCCUGCUAAAGGGAGCUUUUCUCGGCUGUAAAUAGGCCGGGGAAUAAGGGGAGGGCAAGUCUGGUGUCAGCCGCCGCGGUAAUACCAGCUCCUCGAGUGGUCGGGACGAUUAUUGGGCCUAAAGCACCCGUAGCCGGUUCCGUAAGUCCUCUGUUAAAUCCAGUCGCUCAACGGCUGGUCUGCAGAGGAUACUGCGGGACUAGGAGGCGGGAGAGGCGGACGGUACUCCGCGUGUAGGGGUAAAAUCCUUUGAUCCGCGGAAGACCACCAGUGGCGAAGGCGGUCUGCCAGAACGCGCUCGACGGUGAGGAGUGAAAGCUGGGGGAGCGAACCGGAUUAGAUACCCGGGUAGUCCCAGCCGUAAACGAUGCGAGCUAGAUGAUUCGAUCGCAGUUCGCGAUCGAAGUGUCGCAGGGAAGCCGUUAAGCUCGCCGCCUGGGGAGUACGGUCGCAAGGCUGAAUCGUAAGAAGAUUAUUCUUCUUGCGCAGUUCACUUAAAGGAAUUGGCGGGGGAGCACCACAAGGGGUGAAGCCUGCGGUUCAAUUGGACUCAACGCCGGG